UACGUAGGGCGCAAGCGUUGUCCGGAAUUAUUGGGCGUAAAGAGCUCGUAGGCGGUUUGUCGCGUCUGCUGUGAAAACCUAAGGCUCAACCUUGGGCUUGCAGUGGGUACGGGCAGACUAGAGUGCGGUAGGGGUGACUGGAAUUCCUGGUGUAGCGGUGGAAUGCGCAGAUAUCAGGAGGAACACCGGUGGCGAAGGCGGGUCUCUGGGCAGUAAACUGACGC
Molecule: ribosomal RNA, 224 nt
Filed under: uncultured bacterium
Lineage: Bacteria
Description: partial 16S ribosomal RNA
Rfam family: Bacterial small subunit ribosomal RNA
Source: RNAcentral